CCUACGGGAGGCAGCAGUUAGGAAUAUUGGUCAAUGGGCGCGAGCCUGAACCAGCCAAGUAGCGUGAAGGAUGACUGCCCUACGGGUUGUAAACUUCUUUUAUAAAGGAAUAAAGUGAGGCACGUGUGCCUUUUUGUAUGUACUAUAUGAAUAAGGAUCGGCUAACUCCGUGCCAGCAGCAGGGGUAAUACGGAGGAUCCGAGCGUUAACCGGCUUUAUUGGUGUUAAGUGGAGACGAGAUGGGUUGUUAAGUCAGUUGUGAAAGUUUGCGGCUCAACCGUAAUAUUGCAAUUGAUACUGGCAGUCAUGUGGACAGUUGAGGUAUGCGGAAUUCGUGGUGUAGCGGUGAAAUGCUUCGAUAUCACGAAGAACUCCGAUUGCGAAGGCAGCUUACUAAACUGCCACUGACAUUGAUGCUCGAAAGUGUGGGUAUCAAACAGGAUUAGAUACCCGGGUAGUC
RNAcentral lists this ribosomal RNA (460 nucleotides) under uncultured bacterium. RNAcentral's name for it is "partial 16S ribosomal RNA". It matches the Rfam family "Bacterial small subunit ribosomal RNA", at positions 338 to 795 of the family's 1533-position model. The record is from RNAcentral.